RNAcentral lists this long non-coding RNA (1881 nucleotides) under Numida meleagris (helmeted guineafowl). RNAcentral's name for it is "lncRNA (ENSNMEG00000017386.1)". The record is from RNAcentral. Lineage: Eukaryota; Metazoa; Chordata; Aves; Galliformes; Numididae.
GAAAGAGUGACAUUUUAUAAUGGUGACACAUCUUACUAUACAUGGUGAAUUUUCUAUUGUGGCUGAAUCACGGAAUUUUAUAAUUUGUCCAUAAGACUGGCAAAUUUGUGACUUCUGCUGUAAUAUGCUAUUUUCCCCUCUAGGGAUAUCUUUGAAGCAUUUGCUGGUUGUCUCCGAGGAACUAAAUAAUUGUGUGAUGCUUCUCCUGUUUCACCUGUGACAGUGAAGGAUAUCUUCCAAAGGAUAGACAGAAGCAGCAGCUAAGUACAGUUACUGAAGAUUUGCUUUCUGACAGAGACCUGAGCAGCACCUCUGAUAGCACCAGGAAGCAUAGCUCUGCACAGUUCGAUGCUCUGUGAAAUAUCACAACAGUGUAUGCCAAGUCUUUCCCAUUUACUUCGGGGUCAAAUCUUCAAAAAGGCACACACACACAUUUAUCUGUCCAGAACAGUCAUGGUGAUUUUAUCAAACAAAAUAAAGCUGAGAUCAUGAGGAUCAUACUAUGCCUGUCCAAGAGCUCCGAAGACAUCUUCCCAUUUUGUGGAAGAGAGCUCAUAAAAUCUGUGGAGAUUUAGUUGUUUAGUUUCUAGUUAACUGUUUUCCUAGUGGCCAAGAACAUUUAUACAAUUGCAUUAUUCCACCUCUAUCAUAUUUGAUUGUAUUACAUUUUCUAAUAUAAAGACUGAACUCACACACUUGCAAGUGCCAUGAAUAUACAUAUAACAUGAUUUAAAAUGUCUUAACCUCUCUGGAGCAUCUGCCUGUUCAUAUUUGCUAUUACAGUGUUAUGGUGGCUGCCUUCAGCAGGGAUAAGUAAUUCGUCUACAUUUUCUUUUAUUCUCAGAAGAACAUACAAAAUAGUGAUGUUAAUUGCCAACAUUAUAUAUCCUCAGCAAUGGUAGAUCUUACUCUUAAUGAAAAAUCUCACAGGAUAAACUAGGUAAAGAAGAGGAAAUGAUAUCUUUUUCUUGUAUGUAUUUUCCUUUAUCAGAAAAAAAAAAAAGAUCCUGAAAAAUGGCAUGAUCCUCUACCUACAUUGACAACAGAAAUUCUUUAAGUGAAACAAGAAAUUUCCUUUCACGCCAGUUUCCAUUUUCUUGCUCAUAACCUUGUCCAGAGAUAGAUAUAGCCUAUUAUAUCUAAAACAAUGAGAGUUAAAACUGAGCUAUUUUGUGCUAGAACUGCAGGAUGAUACAUCAAAUCUCUCAAAGGUUUCACUUGUCAUGAGCAUUUUUUGUUCUUAUGUUUAUAGAGAUACUUGUAUUAGUGACCUAUUCUUAUGAGAGACCUCUGCUCCCUUUUCAAUUAAUAGUUAAUCUGUCUUAAAGUCUCUGUCUGCUCAUGGCACCUAGACUGAUGGGUUUUGUAGUAACUCUGCUUCCAGUGAAGUUAGCAAGAAUUUUAUUAUCUAUUUCCCUAAGCAAGAGAAUUUACAGAAACUCUAUGUUGCUCUAUCUUCAAGAUCAUCUCCUGAGUAUCAAAUGACAAGUAGGCAAGACAAAAAAAGGAAAAAAACACAUAUUUGAAGCAGCAUAAGCAACAAAACAGAUUUUCUUCCACAACUUUCAAACUUAGGAGCAAAAGAAAAAUACACUUUAUGAAUAAUAUCCCACUACUGAGCACCUAGAGGCCCACAGAAAUCCUUUGCACACACUAGUUAUGUAACGCAUUUUUAAUGAGUUUCAAAUCAAGUACUUUAAUGUCUCCUGAUGAGCUAAAUUACCUUUAGACCUGAUCAAGUUAUUGCACAACAUACUCACCCAAUACAUUACCUCUUUUAAUUCAUAAACUGAUUAAUUCCUUAAUAUUAUAGAUCUAUUAUCAACAACAAUCUACUUUCUUAAAGUAUCCUCAGUGAAAUAAAGCAGGAAUGCAAGGACA